AAAUAAAUUUUUAUGAUUUAUAAAUUUUAUUUUAAAUUUAAUUUAUAUAUAAAUUUUAGUGUGUAAUUUAUUGUAUUUAAAUAAUUUAAUGAAAAUAACUUUUAGUAAAUAAUAUUAAAAAUUUAAGAAAUUAAGAUUUAGUAAUAUAAAAAUUAAAUAACAAAUUUUGUGCCAGCAGUUGCGGUUAUACAAAAAUUUAUAUAAAAUUUUUCAGUAAUAAUAAAUAAUAUAAAUUAAAUUAAUUUGUAAAAAAUGAAAUUAUUAAGUGAAAUUUUAAUUUUAUAAAAGUAAUAUUAAAUAUUAUGAUUUAAUAAAAUUUUAUUAUUAAACUAGGAUUAGAUACCCUAUUAUAAAAAAAAUUAAUAAUUAAUACUAAAAUAGUAAAUAAUAUUUUAUUGAAACUUAAAUAAUUUGGCGGUAUUUUAGUUCAUUUAGAGGAAUCUGUUUAAUAAUUGAUAGUCCACGAAUAAAUUUACUUAAUUUAAAAUUUUAUAUAUCGUUGUUAAAAAAAUAUUUUUAAAAAAAAAUAAUAUUUAAAAAUUAAUAAAAAAAUUAGUUCAGAUCAAGAUGUAAAUUAUAAUUAAGAAUAUAAUGGAUUACAAUAAUAAUAAUUAAAUGAAUAUUAAUUUGAAAAAUUAAUUGAAAGUGGAUUUAAAUGUAAUUUUAUUUAAUUUAAUAAAAUGAUUAAAUAUUAAAAUAUGUACAUAUUGCCCGUCACUUUCAUUUAAAAAUUGGAAUAAGUCGUAACAAAGUAGAGGUACUGGAAAGUGUUUCUAGAAAGAA
Molecule: non-coding RNA, 783 nt
Filed under: Eurema blanda (three-spot grass yellow)
Lineage: Eukaryota; Metazoa; Arthropoda; Insecta; Lepidoptera; Pieridae
Source: RNAcentral